AAAAAGAGAGGAAAAGAGAGGAGAGGGGGGGAGAGAGGAAAAGAAAAAAUUCUCUUUUUUUUUUUUGUCUUGUUUUUUUUUUUUUUUUUUUUUUUUUUUUUUUUUUUUUUUUU
This 113-nucleotide non-coding RNA is filed under the name Paramoeba aestuarina. Lineage: Eukaryota; Discosea; Flabellinia; Dactylopodida; Paramoebidae. The record is from RNAcentral.